UAACAACCUGGAAACAAGAUGCUAAUACCGGAUAACAACAGAUGAUGCCUAUCAACUGUUUAAAAGAUGGUUCUGCUAUCACUCUUGGAUGGACCUGCGGUGCAUUAGCUAGUUGGUAGGGUAACGGCCUACCAAGGCGAUGAUGCAUAGCCGAGUUGAGAGACUGAUCGGCCACAUUGGGACUGAGACACGGCCCAAACUCCUACGGGAGGCAGCAGGA
RNAcentral lists this ribosomal RNA (220 nucleotides) under uncultured Lactobacillus sp. RNAcentral's name for it is "partial 16S ribosomal RNA". It matches the Rfam family "Bacterial small subunit ribosomal RNA", at positions 144 to 354 of the family's 1533-position model. The record is from RNAcentral. Lineage: Bacteria; Bacillati; Bacillota; Bacilli; Lactobacillales; Lactobacillaceae.